Molecule: RNase P RNA, 366 nt
Filed under: Adlercreutzia sp.
Lineage: Bacteria; Bacillati; Actinomycetota; Coriobacteriia; Eggerthellales; Eggerthellaceae
Description: RNase P RNA component class A
Rfam family: Bacterial RNase P class A
About the family: Ribonuclease P (RNase P) is a ubiquitous endoribonuclease, found in archaea, bacteria and eukarya as well as chloroplasts and mitochondria. Its best characterised activity is the generation of mature 5'-ends of tRNAs by cleaving the 5'-leader elements of precursor-tRNAs.
Source: RNAcentral
CGAGUGGGCCAGGCGACCGCGUACUUCGGUGCGAGGAAAGUCCGGGCUCCCCAGGGCACGAUGCCAGCUAACGGCUGGGCGAGGUGACUCGACGGACAGUGCCACAGAAAAGAAAACUCCCCUGCGCGAAACGUUCUGCCUAGCAGAACGCACGAAACAGGAGAAAAGCUGAAACGGUGCGGUAAGAGCGCACCAGCGCGUUGGCAACAACGCGGCUUGGUAAACCCCAUCGGGAGCAAGCGCAAAUAGGAAUGCCAUACGGUGGCCCGCCGUGCAUUCGGGUUGCGUGCUAGAGGCGCCUGGCGACAGGCGUUCGAGAUAAAUGGUCGCCCCCGACAGAACCCGGCUUACAAGCCCGCUCGCCCA